Molecule: ribosomal RNA, 448 nt
Filed under: uncultured bacterium
Lineage: Bacteria
Description: partial 16S ribosomal RNA
Rfam family: Bacterial small subunit ribosomal RNA
Source: RNAcentral
CGUGCUUAACACAUGCAAGUUGAACGAGAGGUAGUAGCAAUACUAUAGUAAAGUAGCAGACGGGUGAGUAACACGUGGGAAACUUCCAUUUAGUAAAGAAUAGCCCAGGGAAGCUUGGAUUAAUACUUUAUACGCCCUACGGGGGAAAGAUUUAUCGCUAAAUGAUGUGCCCGCGUUAGAUUAGGUAGUUGGUGGGGUAAUGGCCUACCAAGCCUACGAUCUAUAGCUGGUCUGAGAGGAUGAUCAGCCACACUGGGACUGAGACACGGCCCAGACUCCUACGGGGGGCCGCAGACGAGAAUACUCCGCAAUGGGCGCAAGCCUGACGGGGCGAUACAGCGUGGUGGAUGAAGUGCUUCGGUACGUAAACACCUUUUAUGUGGGACGAAAUUAUUGACGGUACCACAUGAAUAAGGGGCUCCUAACUCUGUGCCAGCCGCCGCCGUAA